RNAcentral lists this ribosomal RNA (501 nucleotides) under uncultured bacterium. RNAcentral's name for it is "partial 16S ribosomal RNA". It matches the Rfam family "Bacterial small subunit ribosomal RNA", at positions 29 to 523 of the family's 1533-position model. The record is from RNAcentral.
AUUGAACGCUGGCGGCAUGCCUUACACAUGCAAGUCGAACGGCAGCACGGGUGCUUGCACCUGGUGGCGAGUGGCGAACGGGUGAGUAAUACAUCGGAACGUACCUUAUCGUGGGGGAUAACGCAGCGAAAGCUGUGCUAAUACCGCAUACGCCCUGAGGGGGAAAGCGGGGGAUCGCAAGACCUCGCGCGAUUAGAGCGGCCGAUGCCUGAUUAGCUUGUUGGUGGGGUAAAAGCCCACCAAGGCGACGAUCAGUAGCUGGUCUGAGAGGACGAUCAGCCACACUGGGACGAAGACACGGCCCAGACUCCUACGGGAGGCAGCAGUGGGGAAUUCUGGACAAUGGGGGCAACCCUGAUCCAGCAAUGCCGCGUGAGUGAAGCAGGCCUUCGGGGUGUAAAGCUCUCUUGUCAGGGAAGAAACACCGGCUCUAACACAGUCCGGGAAUGACGGUACCUGAAGAAUAAGCACCGGCUAACUACGUGCCAGCCGCCGCCGUAA